Molecule: unclassified non-coding RNA, 148 nt
Organism: Pongo abelii (Sumatran orangutan)
Lineage: Eukaryota; Metazoa; Chordata; Mammalia; Primates; Hominidae
Rfam family: Metazoan signal recognition particle RNA
About the family: The signal recognition particle (SRP) is a universally conserved ribonucleoprotein.
Source: Ensembl
GCUGGGCGUGGUGGCGUGUGCCUGUAAUCCCAGCUACUCAGGAGGCUGAGGCAGGAGAAUCGCUUGAACCCAGGAGGCGGAGGUUGCAGUGAGCCAAAAUAGUGCCACUGCACUCCAGUCUGGGUGACAGAGCAAGACUCUGUCUCAA